Molecule: ribosomal RNA, 429 nt
Filed under: Bacteroidota bacterium
Lineage: Bacteria; Pseudomonadati; Bacteroidota
Description: Bacteroidetes bacterium partial 16S ribosomal RNA
Rfam family: Bacterial small subunit ribosomal RNA
Source: RNAcentral
UAGGGAAUCUUCCGCAAUGGGCGAAAGCCUGACGGAGCAACGCCGCGUGAGUGAUGAAGGUCUUCGGAUCGUAAAACUCUGUUAUUAGGGAAGAACAAAUGUGUAAGUAACUAUGCACAUCUUGACGGUACCUAAUCAGAAAGCCACGGCUAACUACGUGCCAGCAGCCGCGGUAAUACGUAGGUGGCAAGCGUUAUCCGGAAUUAUUGGGCGUAAAGAGCUUGUAGGCGGUUCGUCGCGUCUGGUGUGAAAGCCCAUCGCUUAACGGUGGGUUUGCGCCGGGUACGGGCGGGCUAGAGUGCAGUAGGGGAGACUGGAAUUCUCGGUGUAACGGUGGAAUGUGUAGAUAUCGGGAAGAACACCAAUGGCGAAGGCAGGUCUCUGGGCUGUUACUGACGCUGAGAAGCGAAAGCGUGGGGAGCGAACAGG